AUGCUGGCUUUGGCAGCACAUGUACUAAAAUAAGAUCAAUACAGAGAAGGCUAGCAAGGUCCCUCCACAAAGAUGGCAUACACAUUUGUGAAGAGUUCCAUACUUCA
Erinaceus europaeus (western European hedgehog) is the source of this 107-nucleotide non-coding RNA. Lineage: Eukaryota; Metazoa; Chordata; Mammalia; Eulipotyphla; Erinaceidae. The record is from Rfam.